GAUGAACGCUGGCGGCGUGCCUAAUACAUGCAAGUCGAGCGAACGGACGAGAAGCUUGUUUCUCUGAUGUUAGCGGCGGACGGGUGAGUAACACGUGGAUCACCUACCUAUAAGACUGGGAUAACUUCGGGAAACCGGAGCUAAUACCGGAUAAUAUUUUGAACCGCAUGGUUCAAUAGUGAAAGACGGUCUUGCUGUCACUUAUAGAUGGAUCCGCGCUGCAUUAGCUAGUUGGUAAGGUAACGGCUUACCAAGGCAACGAUGCAUAGCCGACCUGAGAGGGGGGUCGGCCACACUGGAACUGAGACACGGUCCAGACUCCUAAGGGAGGCAGCAGAAGGGAAUCUGCCGCAAUGGGCGAAAGCCUGACGGAGCAAGGCCGCGUGGGUGAUGAAGGUCUUCGGAUCGUAAAACUCUGUUAUUAGGGAAGAACAGAUGUGGAAGUAACUGUGCACAUCGUGACGGUACCUUAUCAGAAAGCCACGGCUAACUACGUG
This 497-nucleotide ribosomal RNA is filed under the name uncultured bacterium. RNAcentral's name for it is "partial 16S ribosomal RNA". It matches the Rfam family "Bacterial small subunit ribosomal RNA", at positions 28 to 507 of the family's 1533-position model. The record is from RNAcentral.